Molecule: long non-coding RNA, 603 nt
Filed under: Setaria viridis
Lineage: Eukaryota; Viridiplantae; Streptophyta; Magnoliopsida; Poales; Poaceae
Description: long non-coding RNA (SVIR_LNC011377)
Source: RNAcentral
AUGGUGAUGGAGAUGAUGAUGAGUACUUUUUAUCCUUCAUGAUCGGCUGUCUCGGUCGAUCUUUUAUGCCACAUGCUUCCCAUCUUUAAACCUAUAUGCAAGUGAUAUUAAUGAAAACCUAGCAGUGGCCGGUAAGGUGGUAACCUUGUACCAUGUCAGUAGAAUAAACUAGCAGAGACAGCAGUGGUGCAAAUUGCAGUAGAGGAGGUGGUCAUAGUGGGGAGAUGGAAAGAUACCUAUGCAUUUUUAGUUUUCCCAAAGUUGAUCUAUUUGUGUGAUAUUGAUUUUUGAAUACUAAAACUUUAUAGUAAUAAAUUAAAUCAUGUUGUUGUGCCACCCAUGUCAUCCUACUUUUCUUCAUAUAUAUUAAGUUUAUGAAAGAUAAAUAGUUGACGAAGUGUUAUAAAUAAAAGAGUUCAAAUACAAGGGCAUAACUCUAUGUAGACACAAGAAUCCAUAUCGAUUAUAAUCAUCGCAAGUAGUUUAUAUAUUUAUAUGUCAAUAAAGGAACAAUAAUUUAACGUUGUUCAACUCCUUAUCUUUUCUACGUCAAUACCUAUUAUAUUUGCAGUGCCCCUUGCAAUUUAAUUACAUCCGGUAAAC